AACGAACGCUGGUGGCGUGCUUAACACAUGCAAGUCGAACGAGAAAAUUCCUUCGGGGAUUUAGUAAAGUGGCGCAAGGGUGAGUAACACGUGAAUAAUCUGCCCUCGAGAUCGGGAUAACAUGGUGAAAACUAUGCUAAUACCGGAUAAGACCACAUCUCAUAAGAGAUGCGGGAAAAGGAGUCUCAAUCUUCACUCGAGGAUGAGUUCGCGCAACAUUAGCUUGUUGGUGAGAUAAAAGCUCACCAAGGCUACGAUGUUUAGCCGGCCUGAGAGGGUGAUCGGCCACACUGGAACUGAGACACGGUCCAGACUCCUACGGGAGGCAGCAGUGGGGAAUAUUGCACAAUGGGCGCAAGCCUGAUGCAGCAAUGCCGCGUGUGUGAGA
Molecule: ribosomal RNA, 388 nt
Filed under: uncultured Nitrospina sp.
Lineage: Bacteria; Pseudomonadati; Nitrospinota; Nitrospinia; Nitrospinales; Nitrospinaceae
Description: bacterial SSU rRNA
Rfam family: Bacterial small subunit ribosomal RNA
Source: RNAcentral